GUGCUGGCUUCAGGAGCUCACCCACUAAAACUGGAACAGUACAGAGAAGACCGUGCCCCUGCACAAGGGUGGCAAGCAAAUUCGUGCAGCAUUCCACACCUUA
This is a small nuclear RNA of Echinops telfairi (small Madagascar hedgehog), 103 nucleotides long. The record is from Ensembl. Lineage: Eukaryota; Metazoa; Chordata; Mammalia; Afrosoricida; Tenrecidae.